UCGGGAAUUUUGGGCAAUGGGCGAAAGCCUGACCCAGCAACGCCGCGUGAAGGAUGAAGUAUUUCGGUAUGUAAACUUCGAAAGAAUAGGAAGAAUAAAUGACGGUACUAUUUAUAAGGUCCGGCUAACUACGUGCCAGCAGCCGCGGUAAUACGUAGGGACCAAGCGUUGUUCGGAUUUACUGGGCGUAAAGGGCGCGUAGGCGGCAAUUCAAGUCAUCUGUGAAAUCUCUGGGCUUAACUCGGAACGGUCAGAUGAUACUGCUUUGCUAGAGUGCAGAAGGGGCAAUCGGAAUUCUUGGUGUAGCGGUGAAAUGCGUAGAUAUCAAGAGGAACACCUGAGGUGAAGACGGGUUGCUGGGCUGACACUGACGCUGAGGCGCGAAAGCCAGGGGAGCAAACGGGAUUAGAUACCCCCGUAGUCCCUGAGCGGGCUGGCAAGGCGCAU
RNAcentral lists this ribosomal RNA (447 nucleotides) under uncultured bacterium. RNAcentral describes it as "bacterial SSU rRNA". It matches the Rfam family "Bacterial small subunit ribosomal RNA", at positions 355 to 825 of the family's 1533-position model. The record is from RNAcentral.